RNAcentral lists this long non-coding RNA (486 nucleotides) under Pan troglodytes (chimpanzee). Its description in RNAcentral is "long non-coding RNA NONPTRT010544". The record is from RNAcentral. Lineage: Eukaryota; Metazoa; Chordata; Mammalia; Primates; Hominidae.
GGCCCAAGCCAGAGUGCUAGGGUUAGGGCGGAGAGGCCCUGAUUCAAGUGCCUAACAUGGGCCUUGUGCUGGACAUCGUUUGCUGGGUGGAUAAAAUGGAAUGAAGCAGACAAGCCCUAAGCCUAAGAGCUCAGCUAGAGCAAAGCUGCAGCAUUGAGAAGACACAGCAAGCUCUUACCUCCCAGUAGGUGACCAGCAGAACCAGGAAGCCACCUGUUAUUCAAGGUGAUUCUUGGAUUUACUUAAUUGUAACCAGUUCAUCCAGUUCCAUGAUAACAAGUGGUGGAAAUUGCUUUGGUUACAUGAAGUCAAUCAAUUUCUCCAUUAUUCAGUGUGAUUCCUCUAACAACAUACUGAUAUCUACUGUGUGUUAGGAUGAAUCAGUUGUAUUGUCUCUGCUUCCAGUGUAUGUGUUAGGAGGUAUUUGAUGUGCAAACAUGUCCAUGAUUAUCAGUAUGUGAUGCCUGCUACCACAUCCUUGAAGAG